RNAcentral lists this long non-coding RNA (5657 nucleotides) under Sus scrofa (pig). RNAcentral describes it as "lncRNA (ENSSSCG00015048318.1)". Lineage: Eukaryota; Metazoa; Chordata; Mammalia; Artiodactyla; Suidae. The record is from RNAcentral.
ACCUCUUACUGAGGGGACCGUCUUCUCUCCGUCCUGUGUUCUCGCCUCCUUUGUCACAGAUGCCUGGGGUUAUUUCGGGGCUCUCUCUUCUGUUGCGUUGAUCUGCGUGCCUGUUCUUUGGCCAGUACCAUGCUGGGUUUUUGGUUGGGGCUAUUUUAUUUUAUUCCAAGUGAAGAGAUGCAUAUUGAGGAAAUUCCUACUACACUAGAAAGACAAGUAACGUCGCCGUGCAGUUAUUUUUUCCUAACAGCUGUGUUGCGUUUUAACGGCCACGCUAAGGACGCUGCUGUGUGAAGUGGACACUUGCUGAGUUUCGCUGUCUGCAGCCCCGCGGCUUCAUCAGCAUCCGAGGAGCGACGACUCCCCCCCUCGAGGUGUCUCCGUGCUCCCGCCGGAUCCCUCUCUCUGGUCCCUCCCUUUGCCCGCCGUCCUCUAACUCUGUUUUCUCAUUAUCAACUGGGUUGCGUCUCUUAUAAUCUCACCUGAAAGUAAAAUUUACAUUGAUUAAAUGGAGUCAUUUUUCCUGGCUUUUGGAAAUGUAUCGUGAUGAUUUUUAGAUUAUCCACGUUGCAUGUACAGAUACGUCAUUGUUUUUAUAGCAGAGUCAUGUUCCACUGUGCAGAUUUGGAAAAACGUUUGUAUUGGAGUUCCCCUCAUGGCGCAGUGGUUAUCGAAUCCAACUGGGAACCUUGAGGUUGUGGGUUCGAUCCCUGGCCUUGCCCAGUGGGUUAAGGAGCCAGUGUUGCCGUGAGCUGUGGUGUAGGUGGCAGACGCAGCUCGGAUCUGGCGUGGCUGUGGCUGUGGUGGAGGCUGGCAGCUGCAGCUCCGAUUCGCCCCCUAGCCUGGGAACCUCCAUACGCCGCAGGUGUGGCCCUAAAAAGACAAAAGAAAAACGUUUGCAUCAGUGUACCUGUUGGUGGGUAUCUGUGGUGUUUUCAGUUCCGACGGUUACAAAUGGAGACGCUGGGAAGAUUUAGGAGAAGGGGUCUCCCCUCCCUUUCUGGCCUCCCCACAGCCUGCGGAAGCUCCUGGGCCCGUGAUCACAUCGCAGCCAUCGUCGUGAGCCGAGCCGGGGCUGUGGCGGUGCUGGACCCUUAACCCGCUGCGCCAGGCUGGCUGCUGAACCUGCGCCCAGGGCUCCAGAGACGCCGAUCACGUGGUGCCACAGCGGGAACGCCUGCUUUUGUUUUUGUUUUUUCCUUUAUUUCUGCUUUUUUGGCCACACCAUGUCAUGUGGAAGUUCCUGGGCCAGGGACUGAACCUGAGCAAUGCCAGAUGCCUCACCCUGUACACCACAGCAGGAGUUCCCUGUUGCAUUUUUUUAAGUGUUACUGAAGCAGAGCUGGUUUACAAGCUGCGCGGCUGAGCACACAUCCGUGCUUUCACAGGUUGCUCCUCCGAGCAGGUUAUCAGAGAGCACUGGGUGGAGUUCCUGUGCCCGACGGCAGACCGCCCCGUGCCACACUGUGCGCAUACGGUGGCGUGUGCGCCAGUCCCAAGCCCUCCGCGAGUCCCUCCCCGAGACCCGUCCCCUUCGGUAAACACAGGUUUGUUUCCGAGGUCUGGGAGUCUGUUUCUGUUUUGUAGAUAAGUUCUUCGGUAUCACCUUCUUUGUCUUAGAGGUUCCCAGACCAGGGGUCGAAUCGGAGCUGUAGCCGCUGGCCUAGGCCACAGCCAGGCCAGACCCGAGCGGCAUAAGUGACCUACACCACGGCUCACGGCAACGCCGGAUCCUUAACCCAUGGAGUGAGUGCAGGGAUCCAACCUGCAACCUCCUGGAUACUAGUCGGGUUCGUUUCUGCUGAGCCACGACGGGAACUCCCAUGUGUGAUCUUUUUACAUUCUUUUUUUGUUUUGUUUUGUCUUUUCUAGGGCCGCACCCGCAGCAUGUGGAGGUUCCCAGGCUAGGGGUCUCUUCAGAGCUGUAGCCGCUGACCUACACCGGAGCCACAGCAAUGCAGGAUCCGAGCCGAGUCUGCAGCCUACACCACAGCUCAUGGCAACGCUGAACCCUUAACCCACUGAGCAAGGGCAGGGACCGAACCCGCAACCUCGUGGUUCUUGGUCGGAUUCGUUAACCACUGAGCCACGACGGGGACUCCUCUUUUUACAUUCUUAUUUUAAAUACGCCAUCCUGGUCUGUCCCAGGAGAUUGGAUGUCGUUCCCUCUGCUGUGCAGUAGGACCUUACUGCUUAUCUGUUGUAAAUGUAAUAGUUUACACGACUCACCCCAAACUCCCCGUCCAUCCCAUGCCCUCCGCCCUCCUCCUUGACAACCACAGGUCUCUUCUCCAUGUCUGUGAGUCUGUUUCUGUUGGUAGAUCCAUCUGUGCCAUAUGUUAGAUCCCACGUGUAAGUGGCAGCACAUAGUGUUUGUUUUUCUCUGACUCAAUUCUCUCAGUAUGAGAGUCUCUGGUUCCAUCCAUGGUGCAGCAAUUGGCAUUAUUUUGUUCUUUUUUAUGGCUGAGUCGUAUUCCAUUGUGUGUACAUACCACAUUUUCUUCAUCCAUUCAUCUGUCAAUGGACGUUUAGCUUGUUUCCGAGUCUUGGCUGUUGUGAACACAGGGCUGCAUGUUCUUUUUGAAUUGUAGUUCUGUCUGGAUAUAUGCCCAGGAGUGGGACUGCUGGGUCAUAGGGUAAUUCUAUAUUCAGUUUUCUUAGGUGCCUCCGUACUGUUCUCCAUAGUGAUUGUACCAGUUUACAGUCCCAGCAACAGUGUAGGAGGGUCCCCUUUUCUCCACGCCCUCUUGAGCAUUUUUUCUUUUUUAUCUUUUCUGGGCCAUACCUGUGGCACAUGGAAGUUCCCAGGCUAGGGUCAUUUUGGCUACAGCAGUGCCAAAUCCAGCCCGUGUCUGUGACCUACACCACAGCUCACAGCAUGCCAAAUCCAGCCCGUGUCUGUGACCUACACCACAGCUCACAGCAGUACCAGAUCCUUAGCCCACUGAGUGGGGCCAGGGAUUGAGCCUGCAUCCUCUUGGAUGCUAGUUGGGUUUGUUUCUGCUGACCCAGUGGGAAUUCUUCUUCAGUAUUUGUUACUUGCAGUUUUUUUUUUUUUUUCUGGGGCCGCUCCCUCGUCAUAUGGAGGUUCCCAGGCUAGGAGUCUAAUCAGAGCUGCAGCUGCUGCCCUAUAGCACAGCCAUAGCCACAGCAACGCCAGAUCUGAGCCGCGUGUGCAACUUACACCAUAGCUCACAGCAACGCCAGAUCCUUAACCCACUGAGCAAGGACAGGGAUCGAACCCAAAACAUCAUGGUUCCUAGUCGGAUUCGUUAACCACUGUGCCACGACGGGAACUCCUGUACACUUAUUAAUGAUGGCCACUCUGACUGGUGAGAGGUGGUAGCUCAUAGGAGUUUUGGUUGCAUUUCUCUAAUAACUAGUGAUGCUAAGCAUCUUUUCACGUGUUUUUCUGCCAUCUGUAUGUCUUCUUUGGAGAAAUGACUAUUUAGGUCUCCUGCUCGUUUUUAGAUUGGGGUUGUUUUUCUGGUGUUGUAUGAGUUGUUGGUAUAUUUUGGAGAUUAAGCCAUACAGGUUGCAUCAUUUGCAACUAUUUUCUCCCAUUCCGUGGGUUUGUUGUUGGUUUUUUGUUUGUUUUUUAUGGUUUCAUUUGCUUUGCAAAUACUUGUAAGUUUGCCUGGGCCUGUUGGUUUAUUUAUUUUUUUUAUUUCUACUGCCGUGGGAGACUGACCUAAGAAAACAUUUGCAUGGUUGAUGUCAGAGAAUGUUCCUGCCUAUGUUCUCUUCUAGGAGUUUGAUGGUGUCCUAUCUUAUAUUUAAGUCUUUCAGCCAUUUCGAGUUUAUUUCUGUGCCUGGUGUGAGGGCGUGUUCCAGUUUCACUGAUUUACAUGCAGCGUCCAGUUUUCCCAGCACCACUUGCUGAAGAGAUUGUCUUUUUCCCAUUUUAUACUCUUGCCUCCUUAGUUGAAGAUUAUUUGACCAUAAAUGUCUGGGUUUUUUUCUGGGCUCUUUAUUCUGAUCCAUUGGUCUGUAUGUCUGUGUUGGUACCAGUACCACACAGUCUUGAUGACUGCGGCUCUGUAGUAUUGUCUGAGAUCUGGGAGACUUAUGCCUCCUGCAUGGUUUUUCCCCUGAGGAUUGCUUUGGCAACUCUGGGUCUUGUGUGGCUCCAUUUAAAUUUUGGGAUUGUUCUGUGAAAAUGUCAUGGGUAAUUUGAUACAGAUCACAUUAAAUCUGUAGAUUGCUUUGAGUAGUAUGGCUUUUUUUUUUUUUUGCUUUUUAGGGCCACACCUGUAGGCAUAUGGAGGUUCCCAGGCUAGGGGUCUAAUCGGAGCUGUUGCUGCUGGCCUACACCACAGCCACAGCAACUCCAGAUCUGGGCCACAUCUGUGACCUACACCACAGCUCAUGGCCACACUGGAUCCUUAACCCACUGAUCAAGUCCAGGGAUUGAACCUGCAUCCUCAUGGAUACUAGUCAGCUUCGUUUCCACCAUGCCACAAAGGGAACUCCGGUAUGGCCAUUUUAACAAUAUAAAUUAUUCCAGUCCAGGAGCAUGGCAUAUCAUUCCAUUUCUUUGAAUCGUCUUUAAUUUCCUUGAUUAAUGUUUUAUAGUUCUCAGCAUAUAAGUCUUUCACCUCCUGGGUCAGGUUUAUUCCUAGGUGUUUUUUUUAUUUUGGUGCGAUUUUAAAGGGUGUUUUUUGUAUUUGUUUUCUAAUAUUUCAUUCUUAGUAUACAGUAAUGCAACCCGUUUCUGAAUGUUAAUCUUUAUCCUGCUACUUUGCUGAAUUCGUUGAUCAGAUCAAGUAGUUUUUGUGUGGAGUCCUUAGGGUUCUCUAAUAUAUAGUAUCAUGUUAUCUGCAUACAGUGACACUUGCACCUCUUCUCUGCCGAAUUUGGAUACCUUUUAUUUCUUUUGUUUGAUUGCUGUGCCUUGGACUUCCAUUACUGUGUUGAGUAAAAAUUGGGCAUCCUUGUCUUGUUCCAGAUUUUAGCAAGAAGGCUUUCAGCUUUUCUCUGAGUAUUAUAGUUGCUGUGGGUUUGUCAUACAUGGCUUUUAUCAUGUUGAGAUGUUUCCUCCGUGCCCAUGUUAGUAAGAGUUUUUAUCGUGAAUGGAUUUGCGGUUUUGUGUCUACUGAGAUGAUGUGGAUUUUGAGCUCUCCUUUGUCAGUGUGUACGCGUUGGUUGAUGUGCGUAUGUUGAACCAUCCUUAUGAACGUAUGAUGAGUCCCGCUUGGUCGUGGUGUAUGAUCUUUUUUAUGUGUUGUUAUAGUUGGUUGGCUAAAAUUUUGUUGAGAAUUUUUGCAUCUUAUAUUCAUAAGAUAUUGUUUUUUUGUUUUUUUGUUUUUUUUUGUUUUUGUAGUAGUAGCUUUGGUUUUGGUAGGGUCACGGUGGCUUCAUAGAAUGUCUUUGGGUGUGUUCCUUCUUCAGUCUUUUGGAAGAAUUUAAGAAGGAUGGAUGGAGUUCCCAUUGUGGCGCCGUGAAAACAAAUCCGACUAGGAACCUUGAGGUUGCAGGUUUGAUCCCUGGCCUCGCUCAGUGGGUUGAGGAUUGGCUACUGCCAUGAGCUGUGGUGUAGGUUGCACAUGCGGCUUGGAUCUGGCGUUGCUGUGACUGUGGUGUAGGCUGGCAGUUGAAGCUCCGAUUAGACGCCUAGUGUGGAAACCUCCAUAUGCCAUAGGUGUGGUCCUAAAAAG